RNAcentral lists this ribosomal RNA (292 nucleotides) under uncultured bacterium. Its description in RNAcentral is "partial 16S ribosomal RNA". It matches the Rfam family "Bacterial small subunit ribosomal RNA", at positions 505 to 796 of the family's 1533-position model. The record is from RNAcentral.
GUGUCAGCCGCCGCGGUAAUACGGAGGGUGCAAGCGUUAAUCGGAUUUACUGGGCGUAAAGCGCACGUAGGUGGUUUGUUAAGUCGGAUGUGAAAUCCCCGGGCUCAACCUGGGAGCGGCAUUCGAUACUGGCAAACUGGAGUACGAGAGAGGGGGGUGGAAUUCCAGGUGUAGCGGUGAAAUGCGUAGAUAUCUGGAGGAACACCGGUGGCGAAGGCGGCCCCCUGGCUCGAUACUGACACUGAGGUGCGAAAGCGUGGGGAGCAAACAGGAUUAGAUACCCCCGUAGUCC